UGUUACACACGGGUAAAGUUUUAGGACCGUAGGAUUGUCAUCAAAUUGCUUUGAUUAGUGUAAAUUGUUCACUGCAAUACAAAAAUCAUUAACUAAAUGAAAUAAAUGUUCUUGUCUUGAAAAAUACUCCAACAACAAAAAUAUUCUACGCAACAAAAGAAGGUUCUGCUUAAUAAAAUUAAUGUUCCAAGUUACAGCAAAAAAAUAUGUUCCCCUCGAUAAAAAAAAUUGUGUCAACCUUAUGACAAGUAUUCUAGAUUACAACGGAAAAUGUUUGCUUAAUAAAAAAUGUUUUAUCCACACGUGGAAAAACAUGAUUUUUAAAAUAAAAUUAAGAUCUCGACAAUUCAACAUAAAUCUAAUGGUCCAACUUCCAAGAGGUGACUUGCGCAUAUGAAAGAAAUUAGUCAAGUCACAGGGAUCCCACCGCAAUCCCACUUUGAUGGUAUCACAUUGACUAGUCACAUUUUAAUUUGUUACACGCGCAUUGUCUGUGGAAAAUUUGACUUGACUUGACUCCAAGAGGUGACUUGACUUGGCUUGACUUGACUUGACUCCAAGAGGUGAUUUGACUUGGCACUUGGCACCUUCCCAAGAAGCUUCUUCCCUUCCGGUUUUUGAUUUGUUUUGAGUCAAGCAUUUUACCAAAUCCAAGAUAGUGACAUGGGAUUCAUAAACGCGUCCGAGGCUCCUAUUUGAACAUAUACAUAUAGAGAGCUCCUGGAACCACAAUUCUCGGUUCUCAUACGAUGAUGUUGGGGUGCCCUUCCUUCCGUAUUACAUUUUUUCUCGUGAUCCAGCUAAUUCUUAUCAGCAUGAGCAGCCUCAUUGCCCCAGCAGCCUCGAGACCCGCUGGAUGUAAGUGCUAAACUAAAUAUUUGUUUUUACUAUAAUUUUUACAGAAGUAUGUAUUGUAACCUUGGACGACAAGCUGAUCCAAGGUUAUGGAUUUUGAUCUCCGAGUUUUUACAUGCAUUUGAUCAAGAGCAGAGACAGAGAUAAUAGAUUGAUGGUUUGUUUGAAUCACCCUAGGUUUGAAAUCUGUCCAUGACAUGUCUCUACUUUCAUAAUUAAGCACCUCUCUUACACUUUCACCUCUCCGGGCUCUCUAUAUAGAAUAAUAUCAACCAAUGCUAUGUUUGGGUGAGGCUUUUAAGGUGUCACAAAUCUGUUUAUACCACUAAAAGGUAGGACUAACCCAUCAACAUUUAGCAACAUGGGUUGAAACUAGAAAACUAGUGAGGCUCCUUUUAGGGCUAAUGCCCUCAAGUACUUACCCCAAAUAACGGCACAUAAAGUACCGAGGAUCUCUCGGUGUAAUAGUGAUCAUGCCUUAUCACCUCACAAUAGUAAUGUUAAUUUUCCUCCGUUGUUCCAAACCUCAUGUUAAAGUUUAGGUCUUUCUUUCCUUUCUUGAACUAACAUGCAAGUUGCAAAAAUGAAAAAAAACAUUUGUUUAUGGAACAAAUUUAUGUUUUAUUUUGUAUCAUGUAAAUAAAUUGAGACAAAGUCUGAAGUAUUGUAAAGAGUGUAUAUAUAGAUGACAUAUUUUCCUUUUGGAUCUUGGUGCAGGCAGUUGGGGCCCCUUUUUAACUACAUGCCCAAGAGACCCUCCAGUAACGAGCUGCCCUCGGCCGCCCUGUCGACAUGGCUGAUCCAUGAAUAUAUGAAUUUAUACAGGUGUCAUUGAUAAUCGCGUCAAUAGAUUCGAUGUUUUCCAAAUUUCAUGUUAUACGGGUUGUUGUCUUGUCUCAAAUUAAAUAUGUACGUUACGUACAAUCCUAUAUCACUUCUUGCGUUGAUGUAUAUAUCAAUAAAUCAUUUUUUAGAGACGUAUCAAUAUUUGAUCACUUCAUAUACGUAAAAUCUAUCUCCACUUUCAAAUUAAUAUAUGUGAACUCUACUCUUAAUAUUAUUAUCUAAUACUCAGAGGCUUAUAUCUAUACUCACAUAUAUAAAAUCUAUCUUAUAUGUAAUAUCUUUUUAAGGUACUUUUCAGACCGUGUAACCAAAUGGUACAUUUAAAAUAUCAUAGGCCUGUAACUAUGCGUGAGGAGGAAAUUCACGCUCAAAGUAUGAGCUCAAGAGAACCCUCCAGCAGUACGUUGUUAAGGUGAACUGGUCUUCCAUCUUGGUGCUUUUGUUCUUGUUGACUUUAGAUCCGGGACUAAAGUGCUUUUAGUCCCGGUUCAAAAAUAACCCACCGAAGGCCACCGAGGGGUGGGACUUUAGUCCCGGUUGUAACGGCUAAAAAAUCUAGCAUCGACACCCCCUGUCCCGGUUGGAAAUUCCAACCGGGACAAAAGGCCCUCCCCC
This 2316-nucleotide long non-coding RNA is filed under the name Setaria italica (foxtail millet). RNAcentral's name for it is "long non-coding RNA (SITA_LNC006078)". The record is from RNAcentral. Lineage: Eukaryota; Viridiplantae; Streptophyta; Magnoliopsida; Poales; Poaceae.